Molecule: small nucleolar RNA, 132 nt
Organism: Rana temporaria (common frog)
Lineage: Eukaryota; Metazoa; Chordata; Amphibia; Anura; Ranidae
Product: small nucleolar RNA SNORA31
Exons: 1
Source: RefSeq, a predicted model, not a curated record
UUGCAUCUCUUGAUAGACCAUAAGCUGCAUUCUAUUGCCUUAUGGUUUGCACUAAGAUGCUAUAGAAACCUCCUUGCGCUUUCUGUUUGGCAGACUCUGUUGCUUGAGCAGUUUGAAUAGAGGAGUACACUA